Molecule: ribosomal RNA, 496 nt
Filed under: uncultured bacterium
Lineage: Bacteria
Description: partial 16S ribosomal RNA
Rfam family: Bacterial small subunit ribosomal RNA
Source: RNAcentral
GAUGAACGCUGGCGGCGUGCCUAAUACAUGCAAGUCGAGCGAACAGACGAGGAGCUUGCUCCUCUGACGUUAGCGGCGGACGGGUGAGUAACACGUGGAUAACCUACCUAUAAGACUGGGAUAACUUCGGGAAACCGGAGCUAAUACCGGAUAAUAUAUUGAACCGCAUGGUUCAAUAGUGAAAGACGGUUUUGCUGUCACUUAUAGAUGGAUCCGCGCCGCAUUAGCUAGUUGGUAAGGUAACGGCUUACCAAGGCAACGAUGCGUAGCCGACCUGAGAGGGGGAUCGGCCAACCUGAAACUGAGACACGGUCCGAACCCCUACGGGAGGCAGCAGUAGGGAAUCUUCCGCAAGGGGCGAAAGCUGGACGGGGCAACGCCGCGGGAGUGAUGAAGGUCUUCGGUUCGUAAAACUCGGUUAUUGGGGAAGAACAAAUGUGUAGGUAACGAUGCACGUCUUGACGGUACCUAAUCAGAAAGCCACGGCUAACUACUU